UCCCUAAUAGGUUUGAACACCAGUCUCCAAGGAGUGUUCUGCUUCAGUGUGGUGUAGUUUUGUUUCUCAGCCUAAAUUCUCUCAUUCCAAGUAAGAUCCUUUUUUUCUUGAUAAUGAUCAUUUGUCAAACUGUUUUAGACUAAUUUACUUGUUUUUUUUAAGAAACAGCAAAGUUGUGUGAAUUCCAUAAUGGAUGUUGUUCAUCUAUUAUCUCAGAGAUUUGAGUUUAAAGUCGAACUUGUAGUAAGCCUAGUGCCUUCAGAGGCCUGAAGUUACCUGUUGCAUAUUUCUUAUUCUGGAAUAAUGAAGUUCUCUAUAAUUUUUUAAGAAAGAUGGUUUCAUUUUUGUACAGGGAGAAAGUGCUUGUGACCUGCUGCUGAAAGGAAGUGGUGGAAAUGUUCUGGGGCCUCAGAGGAACUUGGAAUUCUCAAUCCUGUCUUAGAGGAUCAAAAAUCUAAAGAACAAUGGGAAGUUAAAUACUUCUUAUUUUUAUAAUGGUACAUAUUAUCCAAGCUUGCGUCUAGGAACACCUGCCUGUUUUCCUGGGGUCCACUGAGAGAAGCAAGCAUAGACAUUCACUGAUGCAAGCAGAGACAGAAUGCAGAAGGAAAGAGAGAAAGUGAGAACUGUAAAGGACUGCUGCCUCAAAGCUGCUGUUGCCAUAGAGCUGCGAAGGAGGAAAAAAAACUGCAGCAUGGAUUUCUUAUGCUGUUGAAGUAUUCCUAACCCAGAAGAAACGCUGACUGCUAAGCUACACAACCUUUGCCUGUCAAUCACAACCGCCUCGUUUGGAGACCGUAGAAUCCCUGC
Dryobates pubescens (Downy woodpecker) is the source of this 810-nucleotide long non-coding RNA. RefSeq lists it as uncharacterized. The record is from RefSeq and is a predicted model, not a curated record. NCBI's taxonomy places the organism in Eukaryota, Metazoa, Chordata, Aves, Piciformes, Picidae. The transcript has 4 exons.